GGGGAUGUAGCUCAGUUGGUAGAGUGCUUGCCUCGUACACACAAGGCCCUGGGUUCAAUCCCCAGCAUCACCA
This is a non-coding RNA of Ictidomys tridecemlineatus (thirteen-lined ground squirrel), 73 nucleotides long. The record is from Rfam. NCBI's taxonomy places the organism in Eukaryota, Metazoa, Chordata, Mammalia, Rodentia, Sciuridae.